UGUCGCCCUGGCAAUGGGCAAAGAGACACUUUGUUGGUGGUGGUGUCCUUAGAUCAGUCAGGGACAGAGCAGAUGGCAGUCCUUAGUUCAUCCUAGCUUGAUGCUCAGCUUGGUGGGCAAAGUUAUCUUAUGCCUAAACUCAUAA
Apodemus sylvaticus (European woodmouse) is the source of this 145-nucleotide small nucleolar RNA. RefSeq annotates it as small nucleolar RNA SNORA48. Lineage: Eukaryota; Metazoa; Chordata; Mammalia; Rodentia; Muridae. The record is from RefSeq and is a predicted model, not a curated record. The transcript has a single exon.